Molecule: ribosomal RNA, 552 nt
Filed under: Physalaemus cuvieri (barker frog)
Lineage: Eukaryota; Metazoa; Chordata; Amphibia; Anura; Leptodactylidae
Description: LSU rRNA
Rfam family: Bacterial large subunit ribosomal RNA
Source: RNAcentral
UAAGAGGUCCAGCCUGCCCAGUGAAAAAUUUUAACGGCCGCGGUAUCCUAACCGUGCGAAGGUAGCGUAAUCACUUGUUCUUUAAAUCAGGACUAGUAUGAAUGGCACCACGAAGGUUAUACUGUCUCCCCUUUUUAAUCAGUGAAACUAAUCUCCCCGUGAAGAAGCGGGAAUAAAACUAUAAGACGAGAAGACCCUAUGGAGCUUUAGACUACAUAACAAUUGCUAUCUAUUUAUUUAUCCCCCGGAAACUCAAUUAUAUUAAUUCAUAUUGAUUACUAGUCUUAGGUUGGGGUGACCGCGGAGUAAAAUACAACCUCCAUGAUGAAAGAAACUUAAUUUCUUAACCCAGAGUUACAACUCUAAGUACCAAAAAUUUGACAUAAAUUGACCCAAUAAUUUGAUCAACGAACCAAGUUACCCUAGGGAUAACAGCGCAAUCUACUUCAAGAGUCCCUAUCGACAAGUAGGUUUACGACCUCGAUGUUGGAUCAGGGUAUCCUAGUGGUGCAGCCGCUACUAAAGGUUCGUUUGUUCAACGAUUAAAACCCU